AGUGAACGCUGGCGGUAGGCCUAACACAUGCAAGUCGAACGGCAGCACAGGAGAGCUUGCUCUCUGGGUGGCGAGUGGCGGACGGGUGAGGAAUACAUCGGAAUCUACUUUUUCGUGGGGGAUAACGUAGGGAAACUUACGCUAAUACCGCAUACGACCUACGGGUGAAAGCAGGGGACCUUCGGGCCCUGCGCGAUUGAAUGAGCCGAUGUCGGAUUAGCUAGUUGGCGGGGUAAAGGCCCACCAAGGCGACGAUCCGUAGCUGGUCUGAGAGGAUGAUCAGCCACACUGGAACGGAGACACGGUCCAGACUCCUACGGGGGGCAGCAGUGGGGAAUAUUGGACAAUGGGCGCAGGCCUGAUCCAGCAAUACCGCGUGGGUGAAGAAGGCCUUCGGGUUGUAAAGCCCUUUUGUUGGGAAAGAAAUCCAGCUGGCUAAUACCCGGUUGGGAUGACGGUACCCAAAGAAUAAGCACCGGCUAACUUCGUGCCAGCCGCCGCCGUAA
This 506-nucleotide ribosomal RNA is filed under the name uncultured bacterium. RNAcentral describes it as "partial 16S ribosomal RNA". It matches the Rfam family "Bacterial small subunit ribosomal RNA", at positions 29 to 523 of the family's 1533-position model. The record is from RNAcentral.